GCAUUUGCAGUUGGAGAGAGAAGAUGGACUGCAGCUACCCGAUGCAUCGUGCGUGCCUCACCUCCAUCUGCACUUAGACAGAGAGAUGGACUGGCGCCUAUGACGCCCUGGUCGACUACGCGGUCGCCGCCGUCCGCGAGCCCGGGUGCACGGUGGCUCUCACAGACUUCCACCACUGCGUCGACGCUUCAGCGAGUCCUGCGACCGAGCCGACGGCCUCGUCCAGGUGGCCGCCGCCGGCCUCGGCCCCGCCGCCUCCCGCCACAACGAGAUGUUCCGCGCGCUCAUGGACCUCCACCGCUGCCUCGACGCCUUCAGCGAUUCCCGCGACUGAGCCAAGGGCCUCGUCCAGGCGGCCGCCACGGCCGCGCCGCCUCCCGUCACGACAAGCUGUUCCGUGCCGUGCGCGUGGUCGACAAAGAUCUCCGGGCCGCCGCUGCCGGCUGGGAGAAGAAUCGCCCUCCGACCACGCCACUGGCAGCCGAGGACAAAUAGCCCAAUCAAUCUACCCCGUCUCCUAUUCAGGUGAUGUUUAUCAUUCUUGUUUUUUCCAUGUGAUGUUCAUCGUUCCUCUUAUUUUCUCGGUUGAUGUGCUAAUCAUGUUAGUCAAAGAUGAAUGAAACUGUGACGGGAAAGGAGAGAUGGACCGGGAUAUUUUUCCUCGGCAUGUCGCAUGGUGGCCGAGAUGCGGCAGCCCCAUGCUCUGUUCUGAUGGGCCUCCUCUGCUCGAUGGUUGCCGCUGGUUGAGUUUGGUACAGUUUCCUGUUGUCGCUUGCGUCGAGCCCUAGGUCCGUCUCUCCUUCUCAUUGAGGUUAGUCCACUCUGCUGGGGGGCUGUUAUUCGGGAUCAUAAUGGAGUAGUCCAAGCAUGUGGAGCAGGAAGAUUGGAGAACCUUGCAAAUCCUCUUCAUGCAGAAGCGUUGGCUGCUCUUUAUGGUGCAAAGCUGGCUGCAUCCAAGGGAAUCACUGCCCUCUACUUUGAAACUGAUUCCAUGCUUUUAAAACAAGGGGCAGAGCAGGAAGAACAAGACCGAUCGAUUGUCUACAGAGUGCUAGCGGAGCUCAAGGAUUUCCUGAGCAAAAACUUUUAUCAGACCACAUUUAGCUUUGCUAGUAGGAAUUGUAAUAAUUUAGCUCAUGUACUUGCACACAAAGGAUGUUCUAUGAACCUGUAUGAUGAGCUAAAUGCAGACAAUGUAACUGCUGAUGUAAAAGCUUUAGUGGCGAGCGAGUCAGCUUCGUCCACGUAGUAAUGCGGUUUCUGCAUUUCCUUUCAAAAAAAAAAAAGAGCCUACUUCUCCUGUCGCUGGCGCUUCUUCUUCUCGUCCGUCCCGCUGCUUAACCAACGUGCUUAUGCUUGCUGCCUCGAGUUGUACGAUCUCUUCUGUCGCUGCGUCGUUCGACUCAUCAAGGUUUUCUUCUUUCCUUUCUACUACAUGUGUGUGUUAUACUUUCAGUAUCUUCUGUGUCAUGUCUGCCUUGGUGAUCUUUUAAAUAUAUGUAUGUCGUGCUGAUCGUUUAAAUAUUCCGGAUAUGGUCGGGCGUUGUGUGUUGUUCUUUCUCGUGCUGCUUAUAUUUCGUGUAUGCGUGUGAGCAGGAUGUGUAUGCCUGUUUCCGUUGUUAUACCAGUUUUGGAGGCCGUGGUAACUCGAUACCACUCACGCUCACUCUUUCUGUUGUACACAAGCAUAUUUGUCCAAUUCUCAGACUAAGUUUCUGAAAGAAACCGCAGUUCAUUACAACGCCAAUUAUGGAUAUGGAUCCAUCUUGCUACGCUGGAUGAAGGACUGGAUGUAAUAAGAAUUGCAUGUGACAAAUAGGUGCCUCCUCUAUGCAUAACUUUUGGCUAAUAUCAUUGAAUUUCUCCUGAGAUCUCUCUAGACCUUUCCAAAUGUAUUUUAGUUAGGUGUUUGUAUUAACUAGCAGAAGAAGGGAUGCAAAUGGAAAGAAUUUGAGAUGCAUAAACAUAAAAGCACUAAAAGAUUUGCUUGAAGCAAAGAUGUCUAGCCGGCAUACAUAUGGCAAGAACCUUCAGAGAUUGAUUUCUUUUCACCUGCUAUUCAGAUAUAUACUUGCUCAUAGGUCACAACUCAUGAAGUUACUUCUUUUGGUUUUGAUUUUGAAAUAUAUGUGUCAUAGGUCACGACUGAUGAAGUUACUUCCUUUUGGUGAAGGUCUGAAUAUCAUCAGUAUCUUGGCUGAGAGGCUGACAUUUCGGAAGGUUCUCAUCUGUGUAGCGGGAUUUAAUAUCACUUGCUUCUCAGUCUUCUCCACCCUCGACAUGCGUAGGCCAAAAAGGCGGAGACGAGUCAUGAUCCUCCAGGCUAUGGCUGCUGGUUGCAGACAGGGUUUAAGCACAGGAAUCGCAAAAGUUGUGCCCCAUGAGGCCAGUGACCCCCAUGUGGCCAGCAACUAAAGGCUAGAUUCAUUCUCGUUGAAUGUAACCUGCCUGACAGUAAAUUAGUGUCACAUUGGUAGUUGUCGAUCUUUUAAAAUUUGAUUAACUAAUUUGGGCUCUAACAGAUUCUGUAGUUGUCUGUUGUUUCUUAUUUGCAGGUUAUCUUUAGCUUGGACGAAAAUGAAUGGACGAGCUUCAGUAUGACGAGGAGAGAGCAAUCUUGUUCAGUUUUAAUCGGGACAGAUGAAGGACAACCAUGUAAAAGUGGAGCAGUCAUAGGCCUGUUAUAGAGAUCUUGGUGAAGAACUCGUCACUGCAAUUUUGUCAAAUGGGUGUUGAGAUUGAAGUUUAUGCUUUUGUUGACUUUCUGAUAAAUUACAGCAACAUCGACAAGGUUAUGUGGGAGCCUUUCAUAGAGCCCUCAUAUAUUCAGUUAAAUAUACUUUGAAAUGUGCUGAUCAUGCACUGGAUGUAUCUCCCAGUACUCUGUGUUGCUAAAUUCAAGCAAGCAGCUUAAUGUUUCCAUAUCAGAGCCCUUGAUCGAGUGUGUGAUAAUUCGAGCCUCCAUGGAAGCAUCAACCGGAUCUGGCUGGCCCACAUACGCACGCCUCCUCUUUGCCCGGUGGCUCAUGGAAGCGGUGGCGUACGAUGAUGGCUUCCAUAUGGAGUAGAUGAAUCAUCAUAGAUAGUUCUUAUGUUACAUGUACAAAGGAGAGCAUUGUUUCACGAAAGCAUGGAUUACACCCACGCCAGUGACCAGUGAAGAAAGGGCUCAUGAACAAGAUAAAAAACUUUCAACCAUCUUUUGUUUACAAGGAAAGACGCUUUUUGUUAAAUUAGUCUUGUCGACUUCCGUAUGUAUUAUCGUAUUCUACCUCUUCUAUUAUAUCCAAAUUACUAUAUGAUGUAAUUGACCACUCUUAUUAAGAACUGGGCACAGUGAUUUAUGCUAUCAUUAUCUUAAGUAA
Triticum aestivum (bread wheat) is the source of this 3365-nucleotide long non-coding RNA. RefSeq lists it as uncharacterized. The transcript is spliced from 9 exons. The record is from RefSeq and is a predicted model, not a curated record. NCBI's taxonomy places the organism in Eukaryota, Viridiplantae, Streptophyta, Magnoliopsida, Poales, Poaceae.